GACGAACGCUGGCGGCGUGCUUAACACAUGCAAGUCGAACGGAAAGGCCCUGCUUGCAGGGUGCUCGAGUGGCGAACGGGUGAGUAACACGUGGGUGAUCUGCCCCUUACUUUGGGAUAAGCCUGGGAAACUGGGUCUAAUACUGGAUAGGACCAUGCUGUAGGUGGUGUGGUGGAAAGAUUAGUUUCGGUAAGGGAUGAGCUCGCGGCCUAUCAGCUUGUUGGUGGGGUAAUGGCCUACCAAGGCGUCGACGGGUAGCCGGCCUGAGAGGGUGGACGGCCACAUUGGGACUGAGAUACGGCCCAGACUCCUACGGGAGGCAGCAGUGGGGAAUAUUGCACAAUGGGCGCAAGCCUGAUGCAGCGACGCCGCGUGGGGGAUGACGGCCUUCGGGUUGUAAACUCCUUUCAGCCAUGACGAAGCCCUUGUGGUGACGGUAGUGGUAGAAGAAGCUCCGGCUAACUACGUG
This 469-nucleotide ribosomal RNA is filed under the name uncultured bacterium. RNAcentral's name for it is "partial 16S ribosomal RNA". It matches the Rfam family "Bacterial small subunit ribosomal RNA", at positions 28 to 507 of the family's 1533-position model. The record is from RNAcentral.